CGAGCGAACAGACGAGGAGCUUGCUCCUCUGACGUUAGUGGCGGACGGGUGAGUAACACGUGGAUAACCUACCUAUAAGACUGGGAUAACUUCGGGAAACCGGAGCUAAUACCGGAUAAUAUAUUGAACCGCAUGGUUCAAUAGUGAAAGACGGUUUUGCUGUCACUUAUAGAUGGAUCCGCGCCGCAUUAGCUAGUUGGUAAGGUAACGGCUUACCAAGGCGACGAUGCGUAGCCGACCUGAGAGGGUGAUCGGCCACACUGGAACUGAGACACGGUCCAGACUCCUACGGGAGGCAGCAGUAGGGAAUCUUCCGCAAUGGGCGAAAGCCUGACGGAGCAACGCCGCGUGAGUGAUGAAGGUCUUCGGAUCGUAAAACUCUGUUAUUAGGGAAGAACAAAUGUGUAAGUAACUAUGCACGUCUUGACGGUACCUAAUCAGAAAGCCACGGCUAACUACGUGCCAGCAGCCGCGGUAAUACGUAGGUGGCAAGCGUUAUCCGGAAUUAUUGGGCGUAAAGCGCGCGUAGGCGGUUUUUUAAGUCUGAUGUGAAAGCCCACGGCUCAACCGUGGAGGGUCAUUGGAAACUGGAAAACUUGAGUGCAGAAGAGGAAAGUGGAAUUCCAUGUGUAGCGGUGAAAUGCGCAGAGAUAUGGAGGAACACCAGUGGCGAAGGCGACUUUCUGGUCUGUAACUGACGCCGAUGUGCGAAAGCGUGGGGAUCAAACAGGAUUAGAUACCCUGGUAGUCCACGCCGUAAACGAUGAGUGCUAAGUGUUAGGGGGUUUCCGCCCCUUAGUGCUGCAGCUAACGCAUUAAGCACUCCGCCUGGGGAGUACGACCGCAAGGUUGAAACUCAAAGGAAUUGACGGGGACCCGCACAAGCGGUGGAGCAUGUGGUUUAAUUCGAAGCAACGCGAAGAACCUUACCAAAUCUUGACAUCCUCUGACCCCUCUAGAGAUAGAGUUUUCCCCUUCGGGGGACAGAGUGACAGGUGGUGCAUGGUUGUCGUCAGCUCGUGUCGUGAGAUGUUGGGUUAAGUCCCGCAACGAGCGCAACCCUUAAGCUUAGUUGCCAUCAUUAAGUUGGGCACUCUAAGUUGACUGCCGGUGACAAACCGGAGGAAGGUGGGGAUGACGUCAAAUCAUCAUGCCCCUUAUGAUUUGGGCUACACACGUGCUACAAUGGACAAUACAAAGGGCUGCGAAACCGCGAGGUCAAGCAAAUCCCAUAAAGUUGUUCUCAGUUCGGAUUGUAGUCUGCAACUCGACUAUAUGAAGCUGGAAUCGCUAGUAAUCGUAGAUCAGCAUGCUACGGUGAAUACGUUCCCGGGUCU
RNAcentral lists this ribosomal RNA (1337 nucleotides) under uncultured bacterium. RNAcentral describes it as "bacterial SSU rRNA". It matches the Rfam family "Bacterial small subunit ribosomal RNA", at positions 63 to 1381 of the family's 1533-position model. The record is from RNAcentral.